GCGAGGAUGGCGGAGAGGUCAAACGCGCUAGCCUAAGGAGCUAGUCACUUAGUGUGUACGUGGGUUCGAAUCCUACUCCUCGCA
This 84-nucleotide transfer RNA is filed under the name Candidatus Woesearchaeota archaeon. RNAcentral describes it as "tRNA-Leu". It matches the Rfam family "tRNA". From Rfam's summary of the family: Transfer RNA (tRNA) molecules are approximately 80 nucleotides in length. Their secondary structure includes four short double-helical elements and three loops (D, anti-codon, and T loops). Lineage: Archaea; Nanobdellati; Candidatus Woesearchaeota. The record is from RNAcentral.